GGGGGGGCGAGCGUUUGUUCGGAAUUACUGGGCGUAAAGGGCUCGUAGGCGGCCAGCUAAGUCGGACGUGAAAUCCCUCGGCUCAACCGAGGAACUGCGUCCGAUACUGAUUGGCUUGAAUCCGGGAGAGGGAUGCGGAAUUCCAGGUGUAGCGGUGAAAUGCGUAGAUAUCUGGAGGAACACCGGUGGCGAAGGCGGCAUCCUGGACCGGUAUUGACGCUGAGGAGCGAAAGCCAGGGGAGCAAACGGGAUUAGAUACCCCGGGUAGUCCUGGCCCUAAACGAUGAAUGCUUGGUGUGGCGGGUAUCGAUCCCCUGCCGUGCCGAAGCUAACGCAUUAAGCAUUCCGCCUGGGGGAGUACGGUCGCAAGGCUG
RNAcentral lists this ribosomal RNA (374 nucleotides) under uncultured organism. RNAcentral's name for it is "partial 16S ribosomal RNA". It matches the Rfam family "Bacterial small subunit ribosomal RNA", at positions 528 to 896 of the family's 1533-position model. The record is from RNAcentral.